UCCUCUUUACAGAGGCAGUUUGUCCCGAGUUCCCGCCAUUACGCGCUGGCAACAGGACAUGAGGGUUGCGCUCGUUGCGGGACUUAACCCAACAUUUCACAACACGAGCUGACGACAGCCAUGCACCACCUGCGGAUCACCCUCGAAGGCGACUCGCUUUCACGAGCUUGCAGAUCCAUGUCAAGCCUGGGUAAGGUUCUUCGCGUUGCAUCGAAUUAAGCCACAUGCUCCACCGCUUGUGCGGGCCCCCGCCAAUUCCUUUGAGUUUCAACCUUGCGGCCGUAGUCCCCAGGCGGUUCACUUAAUGCGUUAGCUGCGGCACCGAAGGUUACCCCCCGACACCUAGUGAACAUAGUUUAGGGCCAAGACUAC
This 372-nucleotide unclassified non-coding RNA is filed under the name uncultured bacterium. RNAcentral's name for it is "contains 16S-23S intergenic spacer region". The record is from RNAcentral.